UGGGGAAUAUUGCACAAUGGGCGCAAGCCUGAUGCAGCAACGCCGCGUGAGGGACGACGGCCUUCGGGUUGUAAACCUCUUUUAGUAGGGAAGAAGCGAAAGUGACGGUACCUGCAGAAAAACGCACCGGCUAACUACGUGCCAGCAGCCGCGGUAAUACGUAGGGUGCGAGCGUUGUCCGGAAUUAUUGGGCGUAAAGAGCUCGUAGGCGGUUUGUCGCGUCUGCUGUGAAAACCCGAGGCUCAACCUCGGGCCUGCAGUGGGUACGGGCAGACUAGAGUGCGGUAGGGGAGAAUGGAAUUCCUGGUGUAGCGGUGGAAUGCGCAGAUAUCAGGAGGAACACCGAUGGCGAAGGCAGUUCUCUGGGCCGUAACUGACGCUGAGGAGCGAAAGCGUGGGGAGCGAACAGGAUUAGAUACCCUGGUAGUCCACGCCGUAAACGUUGGGCGCUAGAUGUGGGGACCAUUCCACGGUUUCCGUGUAGCAGCUAACGCAUUAAGCGCCCCGCCUGGGGAGUACGGCCGCAAGGCUAAAACUCAAAUGAAUUGAC
RNAcentral lists this ribosomal RNA (550 nucleotides) under uncultured bacterium. RNAcentral's name for it is "partial 16S ribosomal RNA". It matches the Rfam family "Bacterial small subunit ribosomal RNA", at positions 355 to 914 of the family's 1533-position model. The record is from RNAcentral.